This 446-nucleotide ribosomal RNA is filed under the name uncultured bacterium. RNAcentral's name for it is "partial 16S ribosomal RNA". It matches the Rfam family "Bacterial small subunit ribosomal RNA", at positions 338 to 795 of the family's 1533-position model. The record is from RNAcentral.
CCUACGGGUGGCUGCAGUCGAGAAUCAUUCACAAUGGGGGAAACCCUGAUGGUGCGACGCCGCGUGGGGGAAUGAAGGUCUUCGGAUGGUAAACUCUUGUAAUGUGGGAGCAAAUGAAAAAGAUAGUACCACAAGAGGAAGAGACGGCUAACUCUGUGCCAGCAGCCGCGGUAAUACGGAGGACUCAAGCGUUGUUCGGAAUUACUGGGCGUAAAGCGUGCGUAGGAGGUUUCGUAAGUUAUGUGUGAAAGGCGCGGGCUCAACCCCGGGACUGCACCUGAUACUGCGAGACUAGAGUACGGGAGGGGCAGGCGGAAUUCUUGGUGUAGCGGUGAAAUGCGUAGAUAUCGAGAGGAACACUCGUGGCGAAGGCGGGUUCCUGGACUUUAACUGACGCUGAGGCACGAAGGCGAGGGGAGCGAAAGGGAUUAGAUACCCGAGUAGUC